CAUGCACCAGUGGGGUUCCUUGGCCUGGCCUGCGCCCUCUCGCAAUUUGGGACCCCUUGGCAGAUGUCAGACUGCAGGCCAGGCCAAGGGACCCCACUGGUGCAUG
RNAcentral lists this microRNA precursor (106 nucleotides) under Myotis brandtii (Brandt's bat). RNAcentral's name for it is "mir-9193 microRNA precursor family". It matches the Rfam family "mir-9193 microRNA precursor family". The record is from Rfam by way of RNAcentral. Lineage: Eukaryota; Metazoa; Chordata; Mammalia; Chiroptera; Vespertilionidae.